UACGUAAGUCCCAAGCGUUACCCGGAAUUAUUGGGUGUAAAGCGUUUGCAGGCUGUUUUGUAAGUUGGGUAUGAAAGACCGGGGCUCAACUCCGAGUUUGUGCUCAAAACUGUAAAACUAGAAUCGGGGAGAGGUAAGCGGAAUUCUUAGUGUAGGGGUGCAGUCCGUAGAUACUAAGAAGAACACCAAAAGCGAAGGCAGCUUACUGGAACUGUAUUGACGCUCAGAAACGAAAGCGUGGGUAGCGAAAAGGAUUAGAUACCCUUGUAGUCCACGCCCUAAACGAUGAUAACUAAGUGUUUCCGCUUGACGGAAGUGCUGAAGCUAACGCGAUAAGUUAUCCACCUGAGGAGUACGGUCGCAAGAUUAAAACUCAAAGGAAUAGACGGGGACCCACACAAGCAGUGGAUCACGUGGUUUAAUUCGACAAUAAACGGGGAAUCUUACCCAGACUUGACAUCCAGCGAAUCUUGCAGAGAUGCGAGAGUGCCUUUAUUGGAGCGCUGAGACAGGUGCUGCAUGGUUGUCGUCAGCUUGUGCCUUGAGGUGUUCGGUUAAGUCCGUUAACGAGCGCAACCCAUGUUCUUAGUUAUUAUGUCUAAGAAGACUGCCUUGGUUAACAAGGAGGAAGGUGUGGAUGACGUCAAAUCAGCAUGGCUUUUACGUCUGGGGCUACACACAUGAUACAAUGGUCUGUACAAAGAGUAGCAAUAUGGUAACAUUGAGCUAAUCUUUAAAGCAGAUCUCAGUCCGGAUUGAGGUCUGAAACUCGACCCCAUGAAGUUGGAAUUGCUAGUAAUCGUGAAUCAGACAUGUCACGGUGAAUAUGUUCCUGGGUCU
RNAcentral lists this ribosomal RNA (840 nucleotides) under uncultured bacterium. RNAcentral describes it as "SSU rRNA". It matches the Rfam family "Bacterial small subunit ribosomal RNA", at positions 524 to 1381 of the family's 1533-position model. The record is from RNAcentral.